RNAcentral lists this ribosomal RNA (382 nucleotides) under uncultured bacterium. RNAcentral describes it as "bacterial SSU rRNA". It matches the Rfam family "Bacterial small subunit ribosomal RNA", at positions 30 to 412 of the family's 1533-position model. The record is from RNAcentral.
AUUGAACGCUGGCGGCAUGCCUUACACAUGCAAGUCGAACGGCAGCACGGGAGCAAUCCUGGUGGCGAGUGGCGAACGGGUGAGUAAUAUAUCGGAACGUGCCCGGUCGUGGGGGAUAACGUAGCGAAAGCUACGCUAAUACCGCAUACGAUCUACGGAUGAAAGCGGGGGAUCGCAAGACCUCGCGCGAUUGGAGCGGCCGAUAUCAGAUUAGGUAGUUGGUGAGGUAAAGGCUCACCAAGCCGACGAUCUGUAGCUGGUCUGAGAGGACGACCAGCCACACUGGGACUGAGACACGGCCCAGACUCCUACGGGAGGCAGCAGUGGGGAAUUUUGGACAAUGGGCGCAAGCCUGAUCCAGCAAUGCCGCGUGCAGGAUGAA